CAGUAGCCGCGGGAAUACGUAGGGUGCAAGCGUUAAUCGGAAUUACUGGGCGUAAAGCGUGCGCAGGCGGUCCGCUAAGACAGAUGUGAAAUCCCCGGGCUUAACCUGGGAACUGCAUUUGUGACUGGCGGGCUAGAGUAUGGCAGAGGGGGGUAGAAUUCCACGUGUAGCAGUGAAAUGCGUAGAGAUGUGGAGGAAUACCGAUGGCGAAGGCAGCCCCCUGGGCCAAUACUGACGCUCGUGCACGAAAGCGUGGGGAGCGAACAGGAUUAGAUACCCCUGUAGUCCCUGUCUCUUAUAC
This 301-nucleotide ribosomal RNA is filed under the name uncultured bacterium. Its description in RNAcentral is "partial 16S ribosomal RNA". It matches the Rfam family "Bacterial small subunit ribosomal RNA", at positions 509 to 807 of the family's 1533-position model. The record is from RNAcentral.